CUGUGUCCUUCGACGCCGGUUCACCGCGUGUCGGUGACAACUGGCGUUUUGCGGGACGUCCUGUCGGUGGUGUGUCAGGAAUCUUAGUUGUGCUAUGCUCUGCUUAGUGCAGCUCUGGUUUCGGGCCACUUUCAUAAUCCCGCCGCGGUGCUCUUAAUCGAGUGUCGAGGCGGGCCGGCACGUUUACUUUGAACAAAUUAGAGUGCUUCAAGCAGGCUUGUCACGCCUGUAUACUGUGUGCAUGGAAUAAUGGAAUAGGACCUCGGUUCUAUUUUGUUGGUUUCCGGAAUCUGAGGUAAUGAUCAAUGGGGACAGGCGGGGGCAUUCGUAUUGCGACGUUAGAGGUGAAAUUCUUGGAUCGUCGCAAGACGGACCGAAGCGAAAGCAUUUGCCAAGUAUGUUCCCGUCGAUCAAGAACGAAAGUUAGAGGUUCGAAGGCGAUCAGAUACCGCCCUAGUUCUAACCAUAAACAAUGCCUGCCAGCGAUCCGCCGGCGUCCCUCCGAUGACCCGGCGGGCAGCUUCCGGGAAACCAGAGCUUUUGGGUUCCGGGGGAAGUAUGGUUGCAAAGCUGAAACUUAAAGGAAUUGACGGAAGGGCACCACCAGGAGUGGAGCCUGCGGCUUAAUUUGACUCAACACGGGAAAACUCACCAGGCCCGGACACCGGAAGGAUUGACAGAUUGAUAGCUCUUUCUUGAUUCGGUGGGUGGUGGUGCAUGGCCGUUCUUAGUUGGUGGAGCGAUUUGUCUGGUUAAUUCCGAUAACGAACGAGACUCUAGCCUACUAACUAGACGUAUCUGGUAUCAGCAAUCGUGCUACCAGCGAUCAUAUCUCUUCUUAGAGGGACAGGCGGCUUCUAGCCGCACGAGACUGAGCAAUAACAGGUCUGUGAUGCCCUUAGAUGUCCUGGGCCGCACGCGCGCUACACUGAAGGAAUCAGCGUGUCUUCCCUGUCCGAAAGGACCGGGUAACCCGCUGAACCUCCUUCGUGCUUGGGAUUGGGGCUUGCAAUUGUUCCCCAUGAACGAGGAAUUCCCAGUAAGCGCGAGUCAUAAGCUCGCGUUGAUUACGUCCCUGCCCUUUGUACACACCGCCCGUCGCUACUACCGAUUGAAUGAUUUAGUGAGGUCUUCGGACCGGUGCGCGGAGGCGGUUCUCUGCUCCCGAUGUUGUCGGAAAGAUGACCAAACUUGAUCAUU
RNAcentral lists this ribosomal RNA (1200 nucleotides) under Tagosodes wallacei. RNAcentral describes it as "SSU rRNA". It matches the Rfam family "Eukaryotic small subunit ribosomal RNA", at positions 652 to 1773 of the family's 1831-position model. Lineage: Eukaryota; Metazoa; Arthropoda; Insecta; Hemiptera; Delphacidae. The record is from RNAcentral.